RNAcentral lists this long non-coding RNA (2479 nucleotides) under Anser brachyrhynchus (Pink-footed goose). Its description in RNAcentral is "lncRNA (ENSABRG00000014360.1)". The record is from RNAcentral. Lineage: Eukaryota; Metazoa; Chordata; Aves; Anseriformes; Anatidae.
AGAUCGCUUGUUUCUUGUUUUAUUCUCCUGCUUCAAAAUUUCAAAAUCUGACAUAGGAAAGCCAAGCCCUCACUUACCUGCUUUGCUCAAUACAGACUGCAAUCAGCAACACUUUUCCAAACUCCAUUCUGAAGCUUGCAAGGAAAAGGCUUCAUCCUGCCAGGCAGUGGUAUUAGCCAUCACAUGGAAGGCCGUCAUAAUUCCUGCUCAGUGUAGCAAGGAGCAUUUAAAGUUGAAGUAGACUCAUACUACAAAUGAACAAGGAAGUGCAGAUGAGGUGAUGAUGGCUUUUUUUUUUUCUCAUUAAACUUGAGUGAAGGUGUAAGAGACAUGAUUCCUGCUGCUAGUCCUGCUCAUUCAUGCAUCCCAAGAUAAAAUACACAAAUACCUUUCAGAGCAAGGAGCAAAAAUCUCCAGGACUCAUAAAUGGCUGGUAGUCCCCAUCUCACUGUGCUACAUGCAGUAUCUCUGUUGCUUAUCCCCUCUCCCUGGUCCCAUUAAUCUUGCACUCUUUGCUGCACAUUGGCUCUGCUUCAGCAGGACAGAUGGAGAACAACACUGUUGUAGCCUAUUUUGUAGCAUGAUUAGGCAUUUUAUUGAGAAGUAUGGCUUCAAAUUCUUCAGGCUGAAGAGGACCUAAAGCUCACAUUUCCCACUUCCCAGGGAGGCAUUCUAACCCCUCCGAUAUCAUGUUAUGUCCUCUGGCAGGGAAUAUUGGAAUGGCAUUAAAGAAAAACAAAGGAAAAUGCUAAUGUGAUCUUACAGAUGCUCAAAGCAUUCAAUUAUGAUCAAUUGUGUUGCUGUUUCUGUGCAUCAGCCCUCAAACAAUGGGUAUAUUAAGAACAAGAAAUGUUUUAACCCUACAUCUUGGCAUACAGAAGUAUGGGAGGGACUCCAUUUCCUCCAUUUCUUGCCUGCUUAUUAAGGACUUCUACUUGGAUGGGCUUUGCAAGGAGCUCUGAGGUCUGCAGGAUAAGCUAUGCUGCAGGAACCCAAGCGUACUGCUGUCCCCCUGGAGGAAGGACAGAGGGGGCUGUGAAAGAUACCGCCACAGAGGCAAAAGACGGAGGCCGUUUCAAGGUGGAAAAAUGCAGGAGGAACACAGCAGAGAAUUUCACACGGAAUAAAAAAAGGAGAGAGUCAAGGGGGCAGGCAGCCUUCAUCACACCUUUGGGCAGACGCUGCUGGGCGUGAAUUGCUUUGGGCAUCAGGCUAACUUCAGUGUAAACUGAACCAGAUACUGGAAGGACUCGGCAUCCAGAGGACUUCAGCUGAUGACAUUCUUCAUUGUUAGAAGAAAAUAUCACAGAAUAGAUAUUGUAGAACCAGAGUAUAAUCUUCGGGGGCUUUUGCUGUCUGGUGUUUGCAAAUGGGCAUGCACAAAUGGAGAUUUUCUGGCUUUUAUUUCCAGGCACGGGCAUAUUUUCUCAUGGAUGCCAAAACAUAUGUUUCUGGAACAACAAGAUUGGAAGAAAACUCCUAAAAAAACCAGUGCUUUGCUUAGCUAGUUAUAAAGCUAUUUUUAAUAGCAAUAUAGCAACAAAGAUAAUGAGAUAGAAAUUCAUCCCUUUUCACUGUUGAAGAACUCGUAAUCACCCUUUGAGCUUUGAGUAUAGCAUAUACAUGAAUAUUUUGGCUUAGUUUCAGCUCAGAGGAUUAGAAGUGGCUGAAGUGAAGAAGAUGAGAAGGGAAACAUUCUUGCAACAUUUAUCAAAAAUUAGAAUCCAAAUAUACAUGAGAAAUAGAGACAACAGUCAAAAACUGUGAUCAAUAUUGGUGCUACCUUAUGUAGCACUUGUGAAAAAUAUUUUUGUCACCGUGAGAACCAGCUUGAGUCCAGAAGGAUCUGCACUGUUUGCUGCAGUAGGACUGCUGUGUCACUGAGAUUUUCCUGACAGAAGUGCAUGAAAUUUGGCACAGCUGAGACUCCCCUCAAUGUCUACACGCACCCAUAUCUAGUACCUGCCCAGUCCUGGAUGCCCCAGGUCAGUUGGGUUUGCUGUGUGCUGGCUGUGAACUACUGCACAGCGCUGGCAUCCACAAACCCACGGUCUCCCCCGUUACAGAUCUCAUCUGCACAUGUCUAACAGGUUUUUCUUCAGGACUUCCAGCAGCUGGGGCUGAACCCUUGCUAUAACUGAACUGCCCAGAUUUUGGAAGUCGUGAGCAAACAGCGAAGUCCUUCUAGUCCAUCCAGCAGCUCUGUCCCAGCUCUCCAUGGGGUUUUCUGGCUCAGGGGCAGUGCAGGACAAAGGCAAGGAACCUGCAGGGCUGGGGAGCGCAGAAACCAGUUGCCUGGGAAUCUGGAGUGCCGGGCACUGUCCUGUGGGGUUGUUGGUGUGACUUUGUGGGUUUUGCUGCCUGCAUGCAUCUUAGGUUUUACUGCUACCUGGAGUAUCCUAGCCUCUUGUGCCACAGUGAAACUACAACUCCAAAUCUGAAUAAUAAAUUCCUUGAAUUUAUGUUCUCUGAGUAUUUC